This 821-nucleotide ribosomal RNA is filed under the name Escherichia coli. RNAcentral's name for it is "partial 23S ribosomal RNA". It matches the Rfam family "Bacterial large subunit ribosomal RNA", at positions 371 to 1196 of the family's 2925-position model. The record is from RNAcentral. Lineage: Bacteria; Pseudomonadati; Pseudomonadota; Gammaproteobacteria; Enterobacterales; Enterobacteriaceae.
CCCCGUACACAAAAAUGCACAUGCUGUGAGCUCGAUGAGUAGGGCGGGACACGUGGUAUCCUGUCUGAAUAUGGGGGGACCAUCCUCCAAGGCUAAAUACUCCUGACUGACCGAUAGUGAACCAGUACCGUGAGGGAAAGGCGAAAAGAACCCCGGCGAGGGGAGUGAAAAAGAACCUGAAACCGUGUACGUACAAGCAGUGGGAGCACGCUUAGGCGUGUGACUGCGUACCUUUUGUAUAAUGGGUCAGCGACUUAUAUUCUGUAGCAAGGUUAACCGAAUAGGGGAGCCGAAGGGAAACCGAGUCUUAACUGGGCGUUAAGUUGCAGGGUAUAGACCCGAAACCCGGUGAUCUAGCCAUGGGCAGGUUGAAGGUUGGGUAACACUAACUGGAGGACCGAACCGACUAAUGUUGAAAAAUUAGCGGAUGACUUGUGGCUGGGGGUGAAAGGCCAAUCAAACCGGGAGAUAGCUGGUUCUCCCCGAAAGCUAUUUAGGUAGCGCCUCGUGAAUUCAUCUCCGGGGGUAGAGCACUGUUUCGGCAAGGGGGUCAUCCCGACUUACCAACCCGAUGCAAACUGCGAAUACCGGAGAAUGUUAUCACGGGAGACACACGGCGGGUGCUAACGUCCGUCGUGAAGAGGGAAACAACCCAGACCGCCAGCUAAGGUCCCAAAGUCAUGGUUAAGUGGGAAACGAUGUGGGAAGGCCCAGACAGCCAGGAUGUUGGCUUAGAAGCAGCCAUCAUUUAAAGAAAGCGUAAUAGCUCACUGGUCGAGUCGGCCUGCGCGGAAGAUGUAACGGGGCUAAACCAUGCACCG